GGCAGCAACACAAAGCUGAUGGCCAAGUGUAUAGAAUACGUCUGCGUUGUCUACCAAUCCCAAAGUCCAGAGAAAGACACACCCGCGGGCUUAGAGCCCAGCCCCGUCAAAUCUGCAUGAGUGACAAUGGCGCCGAAGAUGAUAAUAGCAAUCGCAGAAACAGCCCCGAAGCAGUUGAAUACCACAGAUGCCCAGGCCUGUCAAAGAUCGCCCUCGCAAGUCUCAGGGACAAAGUUUCCAUAAGCACAGACGGCCAGACAACCCGAAGGAAGCAAGACGCGAUCGACGUCUU
Long non-coding RNA from Patiria miniata (bat star), 292 nucleotides. RefSeq lists it as uncharacterized. The record is from RefSeq and is a predicted model, not a curated record. Lineage: Eukaryota; Metazoa; Echinodermata; Asteroidea; Valvatida; Asterinidae. The transcript is spliced from 3 exons.